This 335-nucleotide long non-coding RNA is filed under the name Lathyrus oleraceus (garden pea). Its description in RNAcentral is "Pisum sativum (pea) long non-coding RNA (PSAT_LNC019818)". The record is from RNAcentral. Lineage: Eukaryota; Viridiplantae; Streptophyta; Magnoliopsida; Fabales; Fabaceae.
UGAUUCCUUUAAGCUUGAGUUCUUGAAGUUUACAUAAUCCUCUUAAAGCUCUUUCCUUUGAUUCAAAUCUCCCUACGACUUCACCUACAGUCCAAAAUAUGGACUAGAGAGUUCAAGAGACACAUGUAAAUAUUUAUUAUUGAAUUAGAAAUCAAUAGAAUCUUGUUCUUUCUAGGUGUUUGGAUUACCAUGAAAGCACCUCAUAAAGCUUGGUUUGGGGGAAGAAUGAAAAAUAGAUUUUGGUGGGUGAGGUAGAUAUUCUGUCGAUUAGAGAGAGGAAGGAGGAGUUCCGGAUUUUUGUCAAAAUAGCUAACAUAAUACCCAAGACAGAUUAC